AACGAACGCUGGCGGCAUGCCUAACACAUGCAAGUCGAACGAGACCUUCGGGUCUAGUGGCGCACGGGUGCGUAACGCGUGGGAACCUGCCCUUAGGUUCGGAAUAACUCCCCGAAAGGGGUGCUAAUACCGGAUAAUGUCUUCGGACCAAAGAUUUAUCGCCUUUGGAUGGGCCCGCGUUGGAUUAGCUAGUUGGUAGGGUAAAAGCCUACCACGGCGACGAUCCAUAGCUGGUCUGAGAGGAUGGUCAGCCACACUGGGACUGAGACACGGCCCAGACUCCUACGGGAGGCAGCAGUGGGGAAUAUUGGACAGUGGGCGAAAGCCUGAUCCAGCAAUGACGCGUGAGUGAUGAAGGCCUUAGGGUUGUGAAGCUCUUUUACCCGGGAUGAUAAUGACAGUACCGGGAGAAUAAGCUCCGGCUAACUCCGUG
This 433-nucleotide ribosomal RNA is filed under the name uncultured bacterium. RNAcentral's name for it is "partial 16S ribosomal RNA". It matches the Rfam family "Bacterial small subunit ribosomal RNA", at positions 29 to 507 of the family's 1533-position model. The record is from RNAcentral.